RNAcentral lists this ribosomal RNA (497 nucleotides) under uncultured bacterium. RNAcentral's name for it is "partial 16S ribosomal RNA". It matches the Rfam family "Bacterial small subunit ribosomal RNA", at positions 28 to 507 of the family's 1533-position model. The record is from RNAcentral.
GAUGAACGCUGGCGGCGUGCCUAAUACAUGCAAGUCGAGCGAACAGACGAGGAGCUUGCUCCUCUGACGUUAGCGGCGGACGGGUGAGUAACACGUGGAUAACCUACCUAUAAGACUGGGAUAACUUCGGGAAACCGGAGCUAAUACCGGAUAAUAUAUUGAACCGCAUGGUUCAAUAGUGAAAGACGGUUUUGCUGUCACUUAAAGAUGGAUCCGCGCCGCAUUAGCUAGUUGGUAAGGUAGCGGCUUACCAAGGCGACGAUGCGUAGCCGACCUGAGAGGGUGAUCGGCCACACUGGAACUGAGACACGGUCCAGACUCCUACGGGAGGCAGCAGUAGGGAAUCUUCCGCAAUGGGCGAAAGCCUGACGGAGCAACGCCGCGUGAGUGAUGAAGGUCUUCGGAUCGUAAAACUCUGUUAUUAGGGAAGAACAAAUGUGUAAGUAACUAUGCACGUCUUGACGGUACCUAAUCAGAAAGCCACGGCUAACUACGUG